GAUGAAGAACGUAGCGAAAUGCGAUAAGUAGUGUGAAUUGCAGAAUUCAGUGAAUCAUCGAAUCUUUGAACGCACAUUGCGCCCCUUGGUAUUCCAUGGGGCAUGCCUGUUCGAGCGUCAUUUGUACCUUCAAGCUUUGCUUGGUGUUGGGUGUUUGUCUCGCCUUUGCGUGUAGACUCGCCUUAAAAUAAUUGGCAGCCGGCGUAUUGAUUUCGGAGCGCAGUACAUCCCGCGCUUUGCACUCAUAACGACAGCGUCCAAAAGUACAUUUUACACUCUUGACCUCGGAUCAGGUAGGGAUACCCGCUGAACUUAAGCAUAUCAAUAAGCGGAGGA
This 336-nucleotide unclassified non-coding RNA is filed under the name soil metagenome. RNAcentral describes it as "partial contains 5.8S ribosomal RNA, internal transcribed spacer 2, and large subunit ribosomal RNA". The stretch from base 1 to 120 matches the Rfam family "5.8S ribosomal RNA", at positions 35 to 154 of the family's 154-position model. The record is from RNAcentral.